RNAcentral lists this ribosomal RNA (301 nucleotides) under uncultured bacterium. Its description in RNAcentral is "partial 16S ribosomal RNA". It matches the Rfam family "Bacterial small subunit ribosomal RNA", at positions 509 to 807 of the family's 1533-position model. The record is from RNAcentral.
CAGCCGCCGCGGUAAUACAGAGGGUGCGAGCGUUAAUCGGAUUUACUGGGCGUAAAGCGUGCGUAGGCGGCUUCUUAAGUCGGAUGUGAAAUCCCUGAGCUUAACUUAGGAAUUGCAUUCGAUACUGGGAAGCUAGAGUAUGGGAGAGGAUGGUAGAAUUCCAGGUGUAGCGGUGAAAUGCGUAGAGAUCUGGAGGAAUACCGAUGGCGAAGGCAGCCAUCUGGCCUAAUACUAACGCUGAGGUACGAAAGCAUGGGGAGCAAACAGGAUUAGAUACCCCCGUAGUCCCUGUCUCUUAUAC